RNAcentral lists this long non-coding RNA (1276 nucleotides) under Dicentrarchus labrax (European seabass). Its description in RNAcentral is "lncRNA (ENSDLAG00005035099.1)". Lineage: Eukaryota; Metazoa; Chordata; Actinopteri; Moronidae. The record is from RNAcentral.
ACAGUUUAUAAAAAAUCAAUGCAGCAGAGGAGAUACUGAGAUUUUUUUAUGCCACGUGAGAUGAGGAGCGGGCUACAGAGGUCUGGUAAGAUCACUCCAGACCUACAGAUUUUUAUCAUUUUCACUCUUCUUCAGAUUCAACAGAUGCUGACUCAAGUGACAUCAUGAUGUUUACGGAUGUAGCGACACCGCACACAAAUCAUUGUUUUCUCAUGUGAGUUCUGGGCAUGCUCCUUAACUUUUCAAAACAUCUCGCCACUAACAGCCACAAGUAGGGUAGUGCUUAACUGGAAAUAUGUCUGUCAACACUGAAACGUAUAACUGAUAAUGAAAACCAUCAGUUUUACCCUGUCUGGACUGACAGGUACUUGUUUAUUUUACUGCCAUCUCUAAAUACCUGCUUUUUGUAAUUUGUCAUUACCAGAAGCUUAAAAAAGGUUUUAAAUCUGCGGCUGAGAGUGUGUGGUCCAUCUACAUUUCAUUUUUGAAAGUUUUUGGGGGGUUUUCAGCAGCAAUAGCAUCUCCCAGGAACCGGCUCACCUGAAUGGAAUGAAGCCAUCAUUGAUGUUAUUAGUUACACUUUCCCUGCUGUGACAUGUCAAAAUGUCUGCUGUGAAAAAUGUCCUACUCACUCAAAGAAAAUUCCAGUGAGAUAAGAGUUUUACAUAUGUUUGUUGAUCUUCUAAAAUAAUUUAAACAGCUAAUGAGACAUUAAAUUCUGUUUAUCAUGUAUCGCUGAUGAAUAAGGAAGGCAAUAGCAUUUUGCAAAACCCCAUCAAAGCACUAUCAUCACUAUCUCAGGCAAAGUAGACAUAUAGGCUUCAGAAAUCAUCGAGGAGCUUCUGCUCACGGUUUCAUUUUUAUGCACUUAUCUGGGAAGGCGUCAGGAGCCGAGACAAAACAUGCAGGAAUGAAAUAAUUUUGAGCAUUCAGUCUUGCUUUCAGUUGCAGUAGGGAUCAAAGCGAACAAAUCUGCUGUACUGUAACUGAAAAGUUAAACUUUUUUAAACAUACUUCAUCGCUUUCUCUCCUGGAUUGAUUGAAAUCAAUCAUCUAAUCUCACUGUAUUUGUACGCAUGUUAUACGUUAAGCUAGGGACAAUUCUGGAAGAAGGGGGAGACACCUAGUCUGGCUCUUUGUUUAAUGCCCUGACUUUAUCUGUGUAUCACAAAGACAUAUCUUCUUAUCUCACUCUCUUAAAGAAAGCAAACAAACACAUUUCACAAAAUGUUGAAAUAUUCCUUAAAUUCAUCUAUUUUAGCACCCAAGUCACCAA